CAAGCAGAGGCGCUGUGACACGCUCCCACAAGGCCUCUCAUUAGAAACAGAGCUGUCUGGCAAGCUGGACCAUAAACUUUAGAGAGGUCACCCCCCCAUCCUGUUCUUCUGCACUGUAAACAAGCAGAAAGGUGCCGAUGUGUGCGAUGCCAGGAAAGGUCAGGAGAUGAUUUACUGAACAUUUAUGGAGGCUUUAUCUUCAGUCCUUGUCACCAAUUCGGGUGAUGCUUCAUAGAGGGUCGCCAAACAGACGUGGAAAAAGAAAGAGCAUGACAACGCCACAACCGCAAUGACACAGUCUUUAACCAGUCCAACUCUUGGCAGGUACAGAACACUAAAGGACCAUUUUAUUUCUAAAUGAGUCUGAAUGGCGCACCACAAAGACUGGAAAUGCUGCUGCCCUUUCAUUUUAAAUGGCUAUCGGGUUCAUCAUGCACAUAAAACUCAUCACAGAACAUGAAUAUAAGCGGUUGGAGAAGAGACAGGAGAUGUGAACUGUCCCUCUGAAGUUUACUAAAAAUGUCUGAUGGUUUCGCCCAGACAGUUAGGAGAGCUGUGUCUGAAUGGGAUCCAAAUCUCUGGGCGGUCUCAGAGCGAACGGCGAGGCACUGAGUGCCAGAGACCCUUAGUCCCUCUGGAGUGGCUUUGAGUGAGGGAGCCAUUUUGGGCGGGGGCGAAGAGGAACUCUCAUCAUCCGUUGUCCUUCGGUUAACAGUUUGAAAAGGAUAACUCCACCAGCCGAAGGACUCCACAAAACCUAUUCUGAAUGGUUGGAGGUUGUUUUGUUUCAUCUAUGAUUGUACUAUACAACAGUGAAGUAGCAAAUUAACUGAGCUAUAGGAACUUGUAGAAACUCUUUCUAUUCUGUCUCAUUCUUAGAAUAUUUCAAUACAAGUUCAGUUCAGUUGGCAGCAUUUUUUACAUAAUCUCAACUGUGAGUGUGAUAUUGAUUUUAUACAAU
Molecule: long non-coding RNA, 961 nt
Organism: Rhinichthys klamathensis goyatoka
Lineage: Eukaryota; Metazoa; Chordata; Actinopteri; Cypriniformes; Leuciscidae
Exons: 5
Source: RefSeq, a predicted model, not a curated record